Molecule: long non-coding RNA, 2427 nt
Organism: Artibeus jamaicensis (Jamaican fruit-eating bat)
Lineage: Eukaryota; Metazoa; Chordata; Mammalia; Chiroptera; Phyllostomidae
Exons: 2
Source: RefSeq, a predicted model, not a curated record
GGGAUGCCAAUGGAACUCUCGGCGGGAACUUGCUUAGCACAGCUGAGGGCUGCCAGCAGAAGUUGUGCCUAGAAUUAAGUCCAGCUGAGUUCAAACGGAGCCAAAGGGGAGGCUUGGACACUCGCUGCGCCCACGGGGCCUGCUGGGCCCCACCAGCCCAGGAGAGGGGUCCUGGUCUGAUCCGCCUUUCCUCAUUCAUCAGUAGGACAGAAGGAGCUGUGCAAAAACAUCUCUUAGUGGUGUGUGGUCUGGUUUUAAAGUAAGUCAGAAACAGGACUUGUCUCACAUAGGACUGGUCUACGAGGAUACAUACAGCCUUUCUCUUGACCGAGAGAUAAAUUAGGCUGGACAUGAUUUCUACCAAAAGGAGGUAUUUGGAACCAUAAUGGUUCCCACUGACUGCAUGCUUCCUGGGAUCCGUGGAGCCAGCCCAGCGGACGAAGCCUGGGGGACGCUGAGGCUCUCAGGCAGGAGGGCGUUACAGGACGUCCACAGAACAAACGCAGCUGAACAGAAGACCAGGCACCUGAGGGAGGAGGCGCUCUAGCACCCAUCACCCCGCCCAGCUUCCCUGCCCAAGGCCCACGGUAAGGGCUUCAUCCGCAUGUGCACAGGAAGAUGGUGGGAGCUUCUGGCCAGAGAAAUGUGCUGCCCUUAAUAAUAACAGACACUAAUUGGGCAUUUGCUAUAUCCUAGGUGCUGUUCUAAGCACUUGACAUUAACCUAAUUAACAAUCCUCUGAAGCAGGGGUUUUUAUUAUCAUCCCCAUUUUACAGAUGAGAAAACUGAGGCACAGGGAGGCUAAGUAAUUUGUUCAAGGUCACCCUUGUAGGAAGUGCCAGAGCUGUGAUCCGAACCCAAUCACCUCCGACUUUAGAGCCACACUCUUACUGUCCAUGUUCUGCCGUCUGUGUCCUGCACUUUUUAUCUGGGUGUUAAGGACAAAUAUUUGUGUAGUCAAUCAAUAAAUAUGCCUAAGUAGGGGCACAUGUGUGAUCACACUUGAUUUCUUUGUAUAACAGCCCUAGGAGGUAGGUAGAUGUCAAGGACCCAGCACCCUUCUCAAGGUCACCUUACUAGUUAAUAAUAAACUACUGAGGGCUCUGAAUCUGAAGAAAAGUUUGCUCCAUUGACCCCCAAGGCACUGAAUCCCAUGUGUUGGAUUAGGAAGGAGAAGUUGUGCCCAACACUGACGUCAGGGUGUCAGGUGAUUUAGGACCCAGGCCUGACUCAUCAUGACCUGCUUAUAGAGUAGAAUGGAAUAAUCACCUCCAGGUGCUUUUGGGUUGGGAGGAAAAGACAAGCCUGUCUCUCCUCGGGUGAUGGAUGUUGACUGAAGACCACAGGAAAAGUGAGGAGCUGUGGAAAGCCGUUUCAACAGUGGCAUCCCAGAGCUGGCUGGUGGGGGUGCCUUGAAGAAGUGGGACAAUGGCCAGUUUUGACUGAGAGCGCUCUGUCUUCCUGUGGUUGCUCCAGCGUGCUCCCUGGAAGAACCUCACACUCAUCCUCCUGAUGUAAGUGGGUCUGAGGGUCUGGUCACCAUCAACAAGAGAGACCCCUUUAGGAUAAAGUGCUCGCCUGCUGCCUCCCUGGUGGCCAGCCUCAUGUCGUCCAGUGUGCGGAUUGCUUUUGGCUCCGGACACUGUCUCUGUUCCAGGCAGUGCUGAGCAGGACCGCAGAGCUGAUUUUCUUCCACAUGCAGGACACGAUCCAGAGUAAAUCACUGAAAGAGCCUCCUGGGCCCCUUCCCUCAGGAAGGGGCUGAGGGCUUUGCCAGAUUGGUGGCCUGUUGGCAAUUGGCAGCCUGGUGGCCUUUGCCAGAUUGGUGGCAAAAGUGGAGCUAGAAGAGACCCGAGAAACCACCUUUUAGUUUCAUUGAAAGCCAAGUGUGGCGACUCCGGACAUUUGCUUGGGCCCACUGGUCCUCCUUGUGACAAAGAAGGAAGCAGAGCCCGCUCCCGGCUCCAGGCCCAGCCCGCUUUUUCCUGUCCCAGAAGAUGCCCGGGAGGAGUCCACUAUCUGCUCUGCUGGAUGCUUGCUGAGUGCUGCCCAGGAGUUAAAAAAAAAAAAAGCAGGACUUUCUUGGGUACAAACAUUUCCAUAUCUUUUCUCCCCUCCAAAUUCCUGCUGUCUAAUCUAACAUAGACUCAGUGUAGAAGGGAUGGGAAGGCAUGAGGAAACCCCAUGCAACGGAGCCAGGAAUCUGUCUGCAGGAGGGAGAGUUGUGGGAGGGAUGGAGCAGGUGGGCAGGGAUCAGACACCGUGAGUCUUCAGGCCUGCGGCACUGCUACCCGGCGCUGCCCAGGCUUCCUGGCUCUGUCUGCCAUCUCAAAUGCCCCCAAAGAGCUGAUUCAGCCAGAGGGCACAGAGAACCUGCUAGGCAUGGAACACCAAGUAAACAGCCCCUAGGAAUUUCUUCUACUUGAA